Molecule: ribosomal RNA, 305 nt
Filed under: uncultured bacterium
Lineage: Bacteria
Description: bacterial SSU rRNA
Rfam family: Bacterial small subunit ribosomal RNA
Source: RNAcentral
CCUACGGGGGGCAGCAGCCGCGGUAAUACGUAUGGUGCAAGCGUUAUCCGGAUUUACUGGGCGUAAAGGGAGCGCAGGCGGCGCGCCAAGUCUGAUGUGAAACCCCGGGGCUCAACCCCGGGCAUGCAUUGGAAACUGGCGGGCUGGAGUGCCGGAGAGGUAAGCGGAAUUCCUAGUGUAGCGGUGAAAUGCGUAGAUAUUAGGAGGAACACCAGUGGCGAAGGCGGCUUACUGGACGGCAACUGACGCUGAGGCUCGAAAGCGUGGGGGGCAAACAGGAUUAGAAACCCCUGUAGUCCCAUAGA